AAAGUCUUAGCUUAAUUAAAGUAUCUGGGUUGCAUUCAGAAGAUGUUGGAUAGUGUCUUGCAGAUUUUA
RNAcentral lists this transfer RNA (69 nucleotides) under Boulengerula taitana (Taita Mountains caecilian). RNAcentral describes it as "tRNA-Ala". It matches the Rfam family "tRNA". From Rfam's summary of the family: Transfer RNA (tRNA) molecules are approximately 80 nucleotides in length. Lineage: Eukaryota; Metazoa; Chordata; Amphibia; Gymnophiona; Herpelidae. The record is from RNAcentral.